CCUUAACAAGUUAGCCAAACCAAUGCAUUAUAUUUAAGAUUUAAGUUAUAAAUUCUAUAAAAAUUCAGAAAAUACUUAUGAAGUCAUGAUUCUACCCUGCUCAAUUAAAUAGGAAAGGACAACAGUCUAUACAUCCAUGUUGGGACAUUGAUUGGUUUGCAUGACUUUGGUAAGCUCAGUAGGCCUAAGCUUUCUUUUCUCUAGAGGGCUGGAUUGCCUGAGAUUGGCUUUAGUGAUUGAGAGAGUAACAGAUUGACUCUAAGACCCUGUGCCUAAACAGUUUCAUCAAGCCGUGCAGAUCCCACUUCCUGCUUCUUUGAAGGAGACAUUAACCGUGGCCCAAAUUGCAUUUGCAAAAGAGUUGAAUUAAUAAGUUUGAAUUUUUUUGUUCUCCAAACUGUGGAGACAGUGAUCAUUGGUAGUUUUGUUUCUUUAAUAAUGUACAUCACAUCCCAGUGGAACCCAGAAUUAACGACAGUACAUUAUAUGUUACAAAGUAAAAUGUAUUUUAAAUAUUCUAUUUUUUUUAAAGGUUUUUAUUACAUCCAAAGCAACCAUCAACAGGUAUGGUUUUCUUUCCUUUUUUUUUUUAUUUGGUUUAGAUUUUAUUUAUUUAUUUGACAGACAGAGAUCACAAGUAGGCAGAGAGGCAGGCAGAGAGAGAGGGAGGAAGCAGGCUUCCCGCUGAGAAGAGAGCCCGAUGCGGGGCUCAAACCCAGGACCCUGAGAUCAUGACCCGAGCCGAGGGCAGAGGCUUUAACCUACUAAGCCACCCAGGCACCCCAACAGAAGCCUGGGUAGCUGUAGUGUAAACUGAAGACAUGGGUGAUUAGGAUGUUAAGUGGGAGCAAAGAAAGCUCUUCGUUAUUCUUUUGGAAAUAAAAAGGGAUAAAACUCAGCGAUCAUUAAGCCUUUCACUUUCCUACAAUUUGUCAGCACAGUUGGGGGCUGGCUUCCUUUCCACAGAUCUGCAAGGAAGGUGAUGGGCUGCAUGGGGAUUUACAAACUGAGGAAAACAGAGACGAGUCCAGUGGGGGAAGGGAAGAUAGAAAAGAUCUUGAAGUCAGAAAAACU
Molecule: long non-coding RNA, 1074 nt
Organism: Mustela lutreola (European mink)
Lineage: Eukaryota; Metazoa; Chordata; Mammalia; Carnivora; Mustelidae
Exons: 3
Source: RefSeq, a predicted model, not a curated record